GUCAGUGUGGCCAACUGGUUGAGGCACCAGACUCGAAAUCUGAUACGUUUCCGUGCACAGUCGAAUCCUGCCAAUGACG
This 79-nucleotide transfer RNA is filed under the name Aspergillus carbonarius ITEM 5010. It matches the Rfam family "tRNA". Rfam says of the family: Transfer RNA (tRNA) molecules are approximately 80 nucleotides in length. Their secondary structure includes four short double-helical elements and three loops (D, anti-codon, and T loops). Further hydrogen bonds mediate the characteristic L-shaped molecular structure. tRNAs have two regions of fundamental functional importance: the anti-codon, which is responsible for specific mRNA codon recognition, and the 3' end, to which the tRNAs corresponding amino acid is attached (by aminoacyl-tRNA synthetases). tRNAs cope with the degeneracy of the genetic code in two manners: having more than one tRNA (with a specific anti-codon) for a particular amino acid; and 'wobble' base-pairing, i.e. permitting non-standard base-pairing at the 3rd anti-codon position. The record is from Rfam by way of RNAcentral. Lineage: Eukaryota; Fungi; Ascomycota; Eurotiomycetes; Eurotiales; Aspergillaceae.